AGUGAACGCUGGCGGUAGGCCUAACACAUGCAAGUCGAACGGCAGCACAGUAAGAGCUUGCUCUUACGGGUGGCGAGUGGCGGACGGGUGAGGAAUACAUCGGAAUCUACUUUUUCGUGGGGGAUAACGUAGGGAAACUUACGCUAAUACCGCAUACGACCUACGGGUGAAAGCAGGAGAUCUUCGGACCUUGCGCGAUUGAAUGAGCCGAUGUCGGAUUAGCUAGUUGGCGGGGUAAAGGCCCACCAAGGCGACGAUCCGUAGCUGGUCUGAGAGGAUGAUCAGCCACACUGGAACUGAGACACGGUCCAGACUCCUACGGGAGGCAGCAGUGGGGAAUAUUGGGCAAUGGGCGCAAGCCUGAUCCAGCCAUACCGCGUGGGUGAAGAAGGCCUUCGGGUUGUAAAGCCCUUUUGUUGGGAAAGAACAGCAGCAGGUUAAUACCCCGCUGUUCUGACGGUACCCAAAGAAUAAGCACCGGCUAACUUCGUG
This 492-nucleotide ribosomal RNA is filed under the name uncultured bacterium. Its description in RNAcentral is "partial 16S ribosomal RNA". It matches the Rfam family "Bacterial small subunit ribosomal RNA", at positions 29 to 507 of the family's 1533-position model. The record is from RNAcentral.